This 82-nucleotide transfer RNA is filed under the name bacterium. RNAcentral describes it as "tRNA-Leu". It matches the Rfam family "tRNA". Rfam says of the family: Transfer RNA (tRNA) molecules are approximately 80 nucleotides in length. The record is from RNAcentral.
GCUUUCGUGGUGGAAUGGUAGACACGCUUGAUUCAAAAUCAAGUGCUUAGGCGUGGGGGUUCGAAUCCCUCUGGAAGCACCA